This 256-nucleotide ribosomal RNA is filed under the name Alexandrium margalefii. RNAcentral's name for it is "partial Bacterial large subunit ribosomal RNA". It matches the Rfam family "Bacterial large subunit ribosomal RNA", at positions 190 to 498 of the family's 2925-position model. Lineage: Eukaryota; Dinophyceae; Gonyaulacales; Pyrocystaceae. The record is from RNAcentral.
GAACUGAAACAUCUAAGUACCCGUAGGAAAAGAAAUCAAUUGAGAUUCCCUUAGUAGCGGCGAGCGAACGGGGAUCAGCCGAUUCAUGACGUUGUAGUGGAAUACUCUGGAAAGUGUAGCAAUAAAGGGUGAUAGCCCCGUACACGAAACAGCGUUGUGAACAUAUUAAGUAGGUCGGGACACGAGUUAUCUUGACUGAAGAUGGGGGGACCAUCCUCCAAGGCUAAAUACUCCUAGCUGACCGAUAGUGAACUAG